GAUGAACGCUAGCGGCAGGCCUAAUACAUGCAAGUCGAACGAGAUUGAGGAGCUUGCUCCUCAUGAAAGUGGCGCACGGGUGCGUAACGCGUAUGCAAUCUACCUUAAUCAGGGGGAUAGCCCGGAGAAAUCCGGAUUAAUACCGCAUAACGUUAUUUUAUGGCAUCAUAGAAUAACCAAAUAUUUAUGGUAUUAAGAUGAGCAUGCGUGACAUUAGUUAGUUGGUGAGGUAACGGCUCACCAAGACUACGAUGUCUAGGGGAUCUGAGAGGAUGACCCCCCACACUGGUACUGAGACACGGACCAGACUCCUACGGGAGGCAGCAGUAAGGAAUAUUGGUCAAUGGGCGCAAGCCUGAACCAGCCAUGCCGCGUGCAGGAAGACGGCCCUAUGGGUUGUAAACUGCUUUUAUUCGGGAAUGAACCUCUUUACGUGUAAGGAGCUGAAUGUACCGAAGGAAUAAGGAUCGGCUAACUCCGUGCCAG
This 486-nucleotide ribosomal RNA is filed under the name uncultured bacterium. RNAcentral's name for it is "bacterial SSU rRNA". It matches the Rfam family "Bacterial small subunit ribosomal RNA", at positions 28 to 511 of the family's 1533-position model. The record is from RNAcentral.